Tetranychus urticae (two-spotted spider mite) is the source of this 4614-nucleotide non-coding RNA. The record is from RefSeq and is a predicted model, not a curated record. NCBI's taxonomy places the organism in Eukaryota, Metazoa, Arthropoda, Arachnida, Trombidiformes, Tetranychidae.
UCAUUCUUUUCUCAACCGUCAAAAUUGAAAGUGCUUUUUUUAAAUUCAAAUGUUUCAUAUUCAAUUUAGGUUGAUAACAAUCACUGCUGAUCAUCUUGUUAAUCUUGUUAACAUUAAUCUUCGCCUCUCCGUACUCUUGGACUUGCCAUUUAUAAUCAUCUUACCUUAUUACCUUUCCCAAUUUGUUUCUUUUUGUUUGGCCAUCGUUCACUUUGCUCUUGUUUUGUGUAUUUUUAUAUAUAUUUUUCUGGUGGCAACUUAUAAUUCUUCUCAUCAAUGCUAAUCAAGAUGAUGUCCUCUUUUGGUAGAUGAAAUAUUAAAUUAACUUUCAUUUUUUAUCGUGCUGAUAGGCCUAUUAAUGGGAUGACCCAUCACAAUAAUUGAUCAAGAUCAUUAGUCAUCAUGCAGAAUGUUUUACUUUUCAAAUGCUUAGCCUCUUUUGUUUACAUCUUGUAAUCUUCAAUGCCACAAGACGUUUUGAAAAGCAGACGUUUUGAAAAGCAGACGUUGCGACUUCGAGAUUGAAGCGCAUAUUUCGGAUUAGCAAAAUUUAAGCUCGACAAAGGUUUCACAUAGCAAAUAGACGGAACAUCUAAUUGAUUUUGCCCCUUGAACUACGUGCUUAUUUACGAUAAGAUUCAAGAUGAGACCUAGAAACCAUCGGAGGAUUGGAAAAGCAGACAAGUGUAGCAAUAGAGAGCAUCAUGAAGAUUAAGAAGAGGAAGAUAUUGAUGAUGAUUAAGGUGAUGAAGGACAAAUCUUGAUGAGUGAUCCAAAUUAUCAAUAUACCUUAAAGCGAUUUGAAAGAUUAAAAAUUUGAGGAAAAGCCUGCCAAAGUAUGCUCUCAUUUUUCAAUUCAAUUCAAAACCGAGAGUCAAAAGCUGUUAUCAAUUAAUAUUGUCAACAUUUACAAGUUCAGGUUUAAGUUGAGAUACAUUUUGUUAUGCAUAACUUGGCUGCAAAUAUCAAUGUAUCAACUGUUGAUCGUAAUAAUUGUCGUUCGCGUUGUUACCUCAGCGUAAACAAAAGGCGAGGUGAAUAUUAAAGAUGAUAUUAAACCUUCACACAAACAGCCUGGAUGGAUAACAUGAACACAAUAACCUGAUGAAAUUAUUUAUUAGCAUGAUAUUUACAAAACGUAAAAAAAGUGAAAUCUAUUGAUCACAUUGAUACAUAAUUCAUGGACAAAAAUUUGAAUGUAAAGUGAUUAUCCAAGGAAAGACAGGCAGCAGCAACACCAAUUGUGGUAAAUGAUCAAUAUUCAAUUGAGACCAGUAAACCCAAUGACCUGUUUAAAAGCUAAAUGAGAUGAUGACAGAAACAAAAUUGAAAUUAAUUAUUGCCAUUGACGACAAAUACACAAAAUAAAGACUCCAACUGGUAAUGAUAUCAACAAAAAAAGUGAAAGAAAGCUUAAUUACGCAUCUAAAAAUGAAUAUCAUGAGAGAAUGACUAAGCUUGAUUUAGCUAACCAUUAAGAAACCCAUAACAGAUUAAUCUGUGUUUGUAAUCAUCUGGAAACUGAACAGCAACGAUUGUUCACAGGCUGACAUUAAGCAUUACACAAGUCGUGUAUUUAUAUUGCACAUCAUAGGAAUGACAUUCAAUUGCAAGACUAAGGGAAUCCAAUUUUUCAUGGCCUAUUACCCUGAUCAACUGGCAAGUCCUUCAAUACUUCUUGACUCUCUAUCCCUGUCCUUGAUUAUUACAGUUUCUUUUUUUCAUUUCAGUUAUCUCUACUCUGGACUAUAUCACUAAUUGACCCUCGACUAUCAUCUUCAUCAUUAACUUCAGGGUCAAACGGGACCAGCUUUUUUCCACCACAUUUUUCAAUCUCUUUUACAAUCACCUUUUUCACCGUACUGUCCAUCACCCAAAUCUAAUACAUUCACCGAAUUGUUCACCGCUUUUCGGAUAGAUGAUGAUGAUAUUUGUGUUGAAUUCAAGUGAUGGACGAAAGAAUACGAAAGAGAUUGAAAAAGUGGUGGAAAAAAGCUUGUCCCGGUCAAGCUCAAUUUGAAGCUCAAAUUUUUCCUCAACACAGAAAUGAUUCUUACUGUUACCUUACAUUUCCUUACUUUAUCAUUCUAAGGCAUUUUAUUGAAUAGCCAGUGUUGAUGAUUUACAGAUUAGACUAAACUGCUUUUUCAACUGUCUGCAAACCCGCUCUAAUUCACUGAUUAAGAAGCAAAUUUAAUUUACUCUUAAUAACAGUUGAAAUGUUAAUCAUUUUGUUUUCACCUUUUUAACUUGAUUCAACUUCCCAAUCAUCACCAUCACUUUUCCUCAGUUAAUUUUGAUUCAACUAAUCUAAAAUUGGAAAAAUUCCGUUGAAUUUUAUUAAAUCCAAUGAUCCCAUUUUGAUCAACUUAAUCGCAUACCUUGAUCACAAAAUAAUUAAUCAAUUCAUAAUUUAGCCUAAUAAAUUUACCUUGUCUGUCCCUGGUUUUUUGAUAAACAACGUGUUUUCAUUUUGUAUAAUACUUGCAACUCUAAUGGUUAUGAUUUAAUCAUUUUAACCAUCGAGAUUAAUGUUUUAUUAAUCAUUCUUUUAAUUCUGUAAUUUUACUUUGAUCAAUGAAAAUUCAAGAUGUAUCAAAAAAUAAAUUAAACAUUGCAUUAAUUCAAAUAUAAUCGGUCAUUUUGGUUCUUCCACUUUUCCCGGUUAUUUAUGCAAUUGGUUAAACCCAAGAAAAUCAGAUGAUAGCCGAUGCUUUUUAGAGAUUUACUCUUAAAUAGAACUGUUUUAAAGUUUUAAAUCAGAUUAAUUUAAUUAUUUAGAUUCAAUAAUUUACAGGAAAUUUUCUCACUCAUGAAUCUUUUCAAUUGUAUCAAUUAAUAAUAAAUCAACCAUUUUGUUCAUCGGCUGAUUCCCAUUAUGCUUUUUAAGCUAACAAUGAAAUGGCUUAGCCUUUCCAGCAAAGCCUGCAUUGUCUUAAAGCCUUUUGUUUUGAUCCGUUUCUCUUUGUUAAUAAUGUUUUAUGUUAAUUAAUUACGUUUAUUAGAUAAUUUUAAGAAAGUUUCAACUUGAAUUUUGAUUGUGUGUGUUCAAAGUAUAGUGUUUAAUGAAUUAUUUUUCAAACGGAUGAUUUUUCAGCUGUAAACAACUAAUGCAAAUGUUGAAGUGUAAUUUUACCAUUUACAUGCAUUUGUUUGUACUCUGACCAUUGUUCGGAAAUAUGAAUAGACUUUGGCAGGGUGAAUAAUAGUUGUUGAACAAUGUUCAAUAAACUAUUAAAAUCUACACAACCUUUAAUGGUGAAAAUCAUUGGGAAGUAAAUCGAAGAAAACAUUAAAAAUCACAAAGUCAAGUGCAAAGUGAAUGCGGAAGCUGAUUAAUCUUACAGGUAUCAUAUGCUGCAUCCUUUUUUUAUUGAAACACAACUGAUUAUCGAUGAAAAAGCUAUUGGAAAACCAUAGUUUAAUACAGUAAUUUACAGGUAAAUACUGACUAUUACGUGAAUUCAGGAACUCAUCUACGAGCUGUUAACUUUCCAUCCAUACUCUAUCCGAGUCAAAGUCAAUGCUAAAUUUGAUUCUUCAUGACCUGUCCUUCCAUGGGAUCUCCUACCGAUUGAACUUGAUUUGGUAGCCAGUCGAUUAUAAGAUUGCAGAAAAUGAUAACGUUUAGCCAAAAAAAAGAGGCAAAAAAGUGAAUGAUGUUGUUUGCAUUAUUGAGAAUGAUAAUGAUGUUAGAUCUAAAAAGUGAAGACCUGUUUACGGAUCGGGAAUUUUCCAAAUUCUGGUGUAACUUGUGUCCCAAAGAGAUAGGAAAGGCAAGGUUAAGUGUCGGGUUCAGGGUAAACAACAAAUGAACAGGCAAAGUAAACAAGUGAUUCUGGUAAAAUAAAAUCGUUCUAUCAAAUGGUUUGGAAAAGUCGUCAUCAUUAGGCUUUUACAUUCAGUGAAAACUUGAUGUUAGACCUUUAUACAGUGAUCAUUUUGAUUAGUUGCCAAAGGAACGGAAUAAUGGAACCAAGUGGUGUUGAACAAGAUCAAGUUAAUGUUGAGGACAAUUUGGAGUUUCGUAGAGUCGAGAGAACCUGGAGAUAAUAGAAAAGCAAAAUUGAUGAAACAAACAUAGAAUCACAAUGAAUCUUCAGGCUCAAGCUUGAUUGUUGUUGGUUAUCAUUAUUUUACAUUCAACUUUCACUUUUUACUCCUCGUCUAAUCUCUAUUUUCAUUUCUGUAUUUUUCUGCUUCAUUUUUGUCAUCCCAAUGGAAUCUUGUGAUGAUGAUAAGCUCAUCAGUCAAUGACCUUUGAUUAUCUUUUUAUUGAAUAUACCAGGAAAUGUUUCCACUGAUAAAUCUCUAAUAUCAACUUUCUUAUUCUCGGUUCUCUGUUUUCCAUCUUCUCACCUUCCACCUUGCUUAAAAUUGUUAUGAAUGUCAACCGUAGAUGCAUUUAUGAUGGUUACUUUAUCCAUAAUUAGUGUAAUCUACAGUAAUUGUUACAAAUUUUAAUUUCAAUUACAGUAUUGGAUAAGGGUUAACAAUCACCAUGCUAACCUAAAGUGACAAUUACCUUGUAAAUUGUUGUACUCUUUAUCUCGUUCAUUUCCCAUUCAACAAUCAGAAACCAAUAUAUUUUACUGUCGUUUUCACCAUUAUUUA